RNAcentral lists this long non-coding RNA (3023 nucleotides) under Canis lupus familiaris (dog). RNAcentral's name for it is "lncRNA (ENSCAFG00000053019.1)". Lineage: Eukaryota; Metazoa; Chordata; Mammalia; Carnivora; Canidae. The record is from RNAcentral.
UUUUUUUUUUUUUUGAGAGAGAGAGAGAGAGAGAGAGAUAGAGAGAAAGAGGGUUGGUGGAAGCAGGAGAGAGUCCGGGAGAGAGUCUUAAGCAGGCUCAUGCCCAGUGCAGAACUUCAAGUGUGGCUCGAUCUCACAACCCUGAGAUCAUGACUGAGCAGAAAUCAAGAGUCAGAUACUUAUCCGACCGAGCCACCCAGGUGCCCCAAGAAUUAAAUAUUCUUUUUUCUUUCUUAAAUUUAUUCAUGAGAGACAGAGAAAGAGAGAGAGAUCAAUGGUGCUCAAAUCAGGUAUCAUAAAAUCACCUGGGGGGUCUUCUUAGAAUUUCUCAUUCAGUAAGAAUGGGUGGAUCCAAGAUUUUGCAUUUCUAACAAGUUCCCAGGUGAUCUGAUGUUCCUAGAUUAGAGACUACACUUUGAGAACCACUAGUUUAGAAGGACAUAUUUCUUGCCCAUCUUCCAUUGUUCUUUGAGUUUUCUUAGAACUUUUAUUUCCUCCAGAAUAGUUCAGUGAGGAUCAGAUUUAUCCAAUCCUUAUUGCCCUUAAAAUUAGAAAAAAAAAAAAAGACAAAAGACAAAAAAGCACAGUGCCAUUUGCCACAAGCCCUACCUCCACAGGCAAGAUUUCCCAUUUCUCAGCUAGUGACUUCUGUAGUUUUAGGACUCCAAUGGUAAUUUUUGUCUGCAUUUCUCAUCAUACUGAACCAGUGCAACACGGGCUAUUCCACCAUUUAUGUAAGUGUGUGUAUAUGUGUGUAUAAAUAUAUAAUUUUUAUGUAUUUUUUCCUCCCCAUUCUUAUAAACUGCUAGAGGGCAAAUCUCUGAUCCUUUGGCUUUCUGGCACCUCCAUUGCUAAACACCAUGUUUUAAACCGAGUUCACCGUGUGUUUGAGGCUAAUGAGAGCGGCCAAGUGUGGAGACCAAUAAAUAACGCAAGAGCUAGCCUAUCUGUGGGGAGCUGACAUAGUAUUUCUUCUCUCAACCACAUACACAGCCAAUUUUAUCUGUAAAAUUAUAAGCCUAGAAUGCUGAAAAAAAUUCUACUUGCGUGUAACAGCUGCAAAACUAUAAUCAGGCUUAAGGAUAAUGUGAACCUACCACAUUUUAAUCCAAAUCAGGACAAUUUAGUAGUGCAGAGAAUGGUUUACUGCAUUCUUUACCAAGCUGAUAUAGAACAACCUGCUUCAUCAAAAAUUGUGCUUUCUAUAUUGAUGGGUGUUUUCCUAUGGGUCUCUACAACAGGCUCUUACAGAAAAAGUCACAUACCUGAAUUAACUGUAUUUCAACGAAAACAUUGCAAAGAGAGAGAGGCAGCAUCUAUAAAAGCCAAGCUGAUGGGGGAACAGAGGACUGGCUGAGGACAAACCACAAGUCUGGGCCGCACAUUGACAAGUCCUUGAAACAGGACAUUCUUCUAUGGACUCAAGACUCAACUCCCUCGAUGUUAAUACUUUGCUAAGAGCAAAAGGCAAUCUUAGCCCAUCCCCCAAGACCCUGUGCAUCUAAUUUAACAUUAAAACUCCUUCAGAAAUUUCCUUAUCUCUUAACCCCCUGAAAGAUAGGUGUUGGCAAUCAUCCCCCAUGCAGAUGGCCCACUGAUACGCAUCUUAACCGUCUCAGGACAAAGGUUUUAUUAGACGGUAAUAAAUGACCUUUUCCCCAAUAAUAGCUAGUCUCCUCAAGGUUCUGGAGACCUUGCUUCCAAAAUUCCUUAGAGAGGACGCUAUCCUCAAACCCCUCUCAGCUCCCAGGGAUAAUCAACCGUGGGCUUUUCCUGCCCACGGGUCCUGUCCCCUUGCUUUAAUAAAACCAUUUUGCACCAAAGACGUCUCAAUUCUUUCUUGGUUGUUGGCUCUGGACCUCACCCCACCAAACCUCUAACCUAUAUUCCAAAACUUCAAAGUAGACUAUAUAACCAUUAUCAUGGAAGCAAGUCUUCAGGAGUUAUCUCCUCUUAAGUCUUUGACUUAAUUCUUGGAUAUAGCAUUUUAAAAGUAUACUCUUAAGCAGACAAUAUGCCAACUUGCUUGAAAACUGCACUGGUGAGCUCGUCUGACCUCAUACUCUAGGUUUAAUUUUUGAAUGGUUGAUGACUGGACUUAGGCUUUCAGUGCUCAUGCACUGUUUGGGUUAAAAGAUACAGAUCACAGAACAGCGCCUAACGUUAAGAGGGCCCUUAGGCCAUCUAAGCUCCCACCGUCUUGCUGUGGGAGUGAAAUGCAAAAGAAUUGAGGCUUAGAACCAUCCGGUAGCCUGAAGGGCAUCUCUGGAUUCCGAACCGUGCACUAACCCCCGCCUUUGCCCAAGCAAACGUAGCGAAUUAGAUGGUUUAACCUUACCCCUGGACUUCACGGAUCCUGCUUUCCACAGCCCGACCCAACAAUCACAAGGACAGCGCGCCUAGAAGCAAGGAGAUACUGCUUCAUCUGGAGAACUGGAACGUAAAGCAAAAAUUCAAAGAGCCAAUAAGCAUGAAGUGCUAACUACUAAAAUCUCCAGGGCAGUUAACGCUUUGAGCACCAUUCCCUCCCGCCAACCUAACUCGACUCCAGCUCGACUCCUCGAAGCAAGGCUGACCUUAGGAAGGCCAGUCCUACCAGGUGCCCAGCUCUUCUGAAGACAAAAUGGUUGGCCCUAAAAAGGGCCGUUGGCAUCGAUCUACGCAGGGCGGAGCGGCAACUCAGCCCCCGAAGCCGUAGAGGGUGCGGCCUUGGCGCUUAAGCGCGUACACUACGUCCAUGGCCGUGACCGUCUUGCGCUUGGCGUGCUCCGUGUAAGUGACGGCAUCCCGGAUCACGUUCUCCAGGAACACCUUCAGGACACCCCGAGUCUCUUCGUAAAUGAGACCCGAGAUCCGCUUCACUCCCCCACGCCGAGCGAGGCGCCGGAUGGCCGGCUUAGUGAUGCCCUGGAUGUUGUCUCUCAGGACCUUACGAUGACGCUUCGCGCCACCUUUGCCCAGACCCUUACCACCCUUCCCUCUCCCAGACAUGGCAACCGUGGUGUGAAGACACAGCCUCUGGU